GGGGCGUGGCCAGCGGCGGCCCCGCCCCUGCUGCGCGCUGAGGUGGCGCGGAGCGGCGCGGCCGGGUGGCGCCGCGGGCCGGGCCGGGCCGGGCGGCGCGGCGCGGCGCCGGGCCGGGGCGGGGGAUGCGGGGCGCGGGGCCGGGCGCGCGGUCCGCCCGCGGGGCGCCGCCGCGGGCCCUGCUGGUGCUGCUGGCGGCGGCGGCGGCGCUGUGGGCGCGGGCCGCCGCCGGGCCCUGCGCCGCGCCCUGCUCCUGCCGCCGCGGCCUGCUGGACUGCAGCCGCCACCGCCUGCCCGGCGGGCCGGGCCCGCGGAGGAUCCCGCCGCUGCCCGCCGGCACCACGGGCCUGGAUUUAAGUCAUAAUCAUUUAUUGUCAUCUAACUGGAGCAUUGACUUGUCUGUUCACACACUACAAGAAGUGAAAAUGAAUUACAAUGAGCUAAGUGAAAUUCCAUACUUUGGAGAAACAACUUCCAAUAUAACUCUUCUCUCAUUGGUACAUAAUACAAUUCCAGAAAUAAAUGCUGAGCAGCUGCAAGUUUACCUUUCAUUGGAGAAUCUAGAUCUUAGUUCUAAUCUAAUCUCAGAAAUUAAAACUUCUUCUUUCCCGCGGAUGCAAUUGAAGUACCUGAAUCUGAGCAACAACAGAAUAACUACCCUAGAAGCAGGCUGUCUUGAUAACUUAUCCAGCUCUCUGAUGGUGGUAAAGCUAAACAGAAAUAGAAUUAGUGUGAUUCCACCAAAGAUCUUCAAAUUGCCUCAUGUGCAGUUUCUGGAACUGAAAAGGAACCGUAUUAAAAUAGUGGAAAGUCUUACAUUCCAAGGCCUGGAAUCCUUAAAAUCAUUAAAAAUGCAGCGCAAUGGGAUUAGCAGACUGAUGGAUGGAGCAUUCUUUGGCCUGAAUAAUAUAGAAGAAUUAGAACUGGAACAUAAUAACUUAACAGAAGUAAACAAGGGCUGGCUGUAUGGUCUGCGAACAUUGCAACAACUCUACAUUAGCCAGAAUGCCAUUAACAGGAUCAGCCCAGAUGCAUGGGAGUUCUGCCAAAGACUUUCAGAACUAGACUUGUCAUACAACCAGCUAACUCGCCUCAAGGAGUCUGCCUUUGUGGGACUUGGUUUAUUGGAGAAGCUAAACCUGGGUGACAACCGAGUUAGCCACAUUGCUGAUGGUGUGUUCAGAGGACUGACGAAUCUUCGAACCUUGGAUUUGCGGAACAAUGAGAUCUCAUGGGCCAUAGAAGAUGCAAAUGAAGCCUUUGCAGGACUCGGCAGACUUGAUAAACUAAUCUUGCAAGGAAACCAGAUUAAGUCAAUUACGAAGAAAGCAUUCUCUGGUCUUGAAGGACUUGAACAUUUGGAUUUAAGCAACAAUGCAGUGAUGUCCAUCCAAGAAAAUGCAUUUGCCCAGGCACACCUGAAAGAGCUGAUUUUGAACACUAGCAGCUUGCUUUGUGAUUGCCAGUUGAAAUGGCUGCCACAGUGGCUCACUGAUAGCCACUUACAGCAGGCUGUAAAUGUUAGCUGCGCUCACCCUGAAUGGUUAGCAGGACAAAGCCUCCUCAGUGUGGACCCUGAUGACUUUGUCUGUGAUAACUUCCCUAAACCACAGAUAAGAGUACAUCCUGAGACCACAAUUGCUCUACGAGGCAUGAAUGUGACCCUGACUUGCACUGCUGUGAGCAGCAGUGAUUCACCCAUGUCCACUGCCUGGCGUAAAGACAGUGAAGUAUUGUAUGAUGCAGAGGUUGAGAAUUUUGCCAGAUACCAGCAGCAAGGUGAUGAGGUUGUUGAGUAUACCACUGUCCUGCAUCUCUUCAAUGUGAAUUUCACCGAUGAAGGAAAAUAUCAGUGCAUCGUCACCAAUCACUUUGGCUCUAAUUAUUCUGACAAAGCCAAACUGACAGUCAAUGAGCUGCCUUCCUUCCUGAAAACCCCCAUGGAUCUUACUAUCCGCACUGGGGCCAUGGCCCGGCUGGAGUGUGCUGCAGAGGGCCACCCUACUCCCCAGAUCUCCUGGCAGAAAGAUGGUGGCACAGACUUUCCUGCUGCAAGAGAGAGGAGGAUGCACGUCAUGCCUGAGGAUGAUGUAUUCUUCAUUGCAAAUGUAAAAAUAGAAGACAUGGGAAUUUAUAGUUGUAUGGCACAAAACACUGCGGGUGGUUUGUCAGCAAAUGCUACGCUGACUGUGUUAGAAACUCCUUCCUUCGUUAGGCCCCUGGAAGACAGGACAGUAACCAGAGGUGAAACUGCUGUCUUGCAAUGUAUAGCUGGUGGCAGUCCUGCCCCUCGCCUCAACUGGACUAAAGAUGACGGGCCUCUAACAGUGACAGAACGGCACUUUUUUGCUGCAGCUAAUCAGCUCCUUAUCAUUGUGGAUGCUGGACUAGAGGAUGCUGGGAAGUAUACGUGCAUAAUGUCCAACACACUGGGCACUGAGCGUGGCCAUAUUUACCUAAAUGUCCUGGCUUCCCCAAAUUGUGAUUCUUCCCAGAGUGGCAUCGUCCAUGAGGAAGAUGGCUGGACAACAGUUGGCAUUGUGAUUAUAGUUGUGGUUUGCUGUGUUGUGGGAACUUCCCUGGUAUGGGUUAUUGUGAUCUAUCACAUGAGAAGGAAGAGUGAAGAUUACAGCAUCACUAACACAGAGGAGAUGAACCUACCUGCAGACAUUCCCAGUUAUUUAUCUUCCCAAGGAACUCUGUCAGAGCCUCAGGAAGGCUACAGUAACUCAGAGGCAGGAAGCCAUCAGCAGCUUAUGCCUCCAGCUACUGGCUACGUGCAUAAAGGCACAGAUGGUGGCACAGCACCAUUGGUGAUCUGCUCAGACUGCUAUGACAAUGCAAACAUCUACUCCAGGGCCCGGGAAUACUGUCCUUAUGCCUACAUCACAGAAGAGGACCCCCUUGAUCAAACUCUCUCUAAUCUCAUGGUUCAGAUGCCUAAGGAAAUGUACACAGCGCGCACCCAGCAUGACACCAGCGCUCUUGAUAAUCUUAUAGCAGACAGAGACAUGUCUGUCUUCCUCACCAACCAUGAGAGAAUAAGUGAGAAGAAAAUCUCUUCCCAGCAGAUGAAUGAACCCUUUCAGCUUCCUUUAUGGGGAGUAAACAAGGACCUAGGGCUGUCUCACUCACCCUUUCUGCAUCAGCAGUCAGCCCGUGAGACCCCACGACCUCUUCGAAGCGAGGGCAUUAUUGACAGUGGCCGGGAACAAGCUGCUUCACCCAGACCUUGCCACAGGUUACGUGAACAUAACUUUGAUUUUAAUAGGACACGGAACAUUCAGGACCAUAGUGAAACCACAUAAGGCACUAAAAUGAAGUCUUGGAAGCAAAUCCGCAUCAACUGACUUUUUGUAUUUACUACCUCAGGACUAACCCCAAGGCCAAAGAUGCUUUCGUACGCGUGCCUACAAUUACAGGCUGACUAGACCAAGACAGACUCCUUAGAAGGAGGUGGUACAUGCCCUUUUUCCUUAGAUUCGUGUGCAUUGGAAAAUGGGAAUGUACAACAGUACACAUGAAAGAUUAGUGAUAACCACAACAACAGCAUUAAAACAUUAUUUUUCUGAUGUUGGAAACAGCCUUUGUGUUAGUGCAUGCUUUGAAAAAUCUCUCAAGAAUGCAUAGCUAUUUCACGCUGCAUUGUCUGCUUGAAAACAAAUGUUCAGGGCCUCCUCAUGGAAUUCCCCAGUAAUUGUAAGCAUAAAAUUCUUGGCCAGCUUUUUGUUCUUUAGACUGUUGGCAGGAGACUGUUAUCAGUCGAACUUUGGGGGUUGUUUUCUCCUAUGAAUAAUGGACUCUAGUUGUAAAUAAAUUUGCAUUUAUAAAUAUUUUGUAUACACUAAGCAUAUAAAUGUGUUGGCUGUAAUGUAAAUAUAUUUUUUAUUAUGCCAAAGUAUGUAUCAUACUGUUAGUCUUGACAGCUACGUAUCAAGCCAUAAUUUUCGGUGGAGGUUGAGGGAUUGAGAGCUUGCUUCUGAGGGGAUAGAGCUGGUUUUUUCACUUUGGAAAGAAGUGGAUGUGCUAUAGGUAUGUGGUGAAACUGUGAUAUUAAUGAAUUUCAUUGUUAUCUACAACUCUGUAUGCAUUAAGCAUGGCUGACCUGACUGCAAGCUCAUCCAUUUCAUUACAUUAGCAGAAUUCCAAGUUUGGUCCAUUAUGUGUUGAGAGAGUCCCUAAAUCUCUCUGUUAGGCACCCAUCUUUUCCAGUAGAGUAUAAUGUCCAGCAGAUCCUGCAUUAACAAACUGGGCUGUAGUAUCUGACUUCCCAGGAGUUCUUGUAAAUACUGAACACAGGACUAGUACACAAAAUGUUUUUCUGCUCAGCUGUUAAAUAUGUACAAGAUGGCAGUAUAAGUUCUGAGUUGCUCAAGUUUCAAAAGUUACCUAAGCUUUUAUCUUUAAAAAGCUUUUGUAUUGUGCAUACAGUGUGCACUCUGUAUUGCAGAGAGGUCUCUGUGUAUUUUUCAUGGCUGACAGCUGAGUCAGUGAACUUCUUAAAAGAAUGUCAUGAUGAAAAGCAUUGGAUAACUUGGAAGAGCAUUUGAUCAAUACACAGUGCGCUAUACUAUAUGGAUUUUCUGUUUCCUCUGCACAGCCAAGAGGAAUAUGUAGUUUAAAAAGCUUACCUCCUUUUCUGUCAUGAAGUAUCAGGAAAAUUCUUACCCUGUUGACCUCUGUAAUAGUUCCCUGGAUCUCAGAGUGGCCAAAACGUUGCAGUAUUUGACAGGUGAGAAAUGAAACAAUAUAGGGCAGGGGUGCUCUGUACUGAAAAUCCAGUACUUACUGAGGCAAACAGUAACAUGCACAGAAACUUCACUGCAGACAGUGGGGUGUGCCUGACAAAAUAAGGAGGAAGAACAUUAUGGAGACUUCCCGAAAAGUUCUUGCCUCUGGAAAAAUGUGCCUGUGCAGACCGUGUUAAUGGCUCUCAUCAGUGCUGGAUUUUCAGCAAGUAGGUUAGAGCUAGAGUGCUUUCAAGGUUGUACUGUAACUUCCCAUGCACUCCUUCCUGAAGGGCAAGGGCUUUCUUCCUAGUUAUUGUUGCAUUUCUCCCCCCACCUCGCCCCCUCUCCCCAAACCAUAGGAUAUGUACUAAAGUAAAAACAGCCACAUUGUGUAUUUUUAUAAAGACAGAAAAAGAAUUUUGGAUCAGUCCAAAAGAGCUGUAUAAGACUUCCUGUUGAUCCAUUCCUAAAUGGGAGGGUGCGUGACUGAAGUCUCAGGUGCAACUAUGCAAAAUUACGGCUGAAGUUUUUGAGUUUGUGGAUUAUUGAGUAAAUGAGUGAGGAAGAAGGUGGGAAUAAUUAUUUUCACACUCUUUGGACAUGGAUAAUAGUCAGAUCUAGGCAAAUGAGCAAAUAUUAUCAAGGGCUCUUACCAUGCUCUCAAAGCAACCAUAAGAUAGCCAGCAGCUUUAGAAGGAAGAGGAUUCAGAGUUGUCUUUGACUUUUGGAUAAAGUAGAGAGAAAUGUAGGUGUGUUAAACUGUUGGGCUUUGACAUCCGGAAUAUUUUAAGGUGUUAUAUGUAAUGUACAUGCUAAAAGAAGAAUCUUAAGUUCUUUUCUGUAUUUACUUCCUCCAGGCUUUUUCUUCCCAGACAGCAUCUAAGACAUGGUACUUAUUUUCAGUACAAACUUACCUCUGUUGCAGGAACCUGCCACUGUCUUGAGUUUGAAGUCAGAUGAGAAAUGUCAGGUUAUGAAACUACAGCAGCAGAAAAACUCUCAUCCCUCUGGGCUGCUUGCUGCUUUGUUCCAAUAUUCGUAUAGGCUAACACGGCAGAGUUGCUCUUUGGCAUGUGCAGAGCCGUGAUUUCCUGCUAGCAGAAGAGUAGCACUUAUCCUACUACUGCUUUGUUUCCAUUCGCCAUUUGACAAACACUUGUUACUUUUUCUUCCUUCUCUCUUCUGUGGAGCAGAGCUAAUGCGAGUUUCCCAAGUAUCAGAAGAUAACUAUUGAUAUGGAAGUGCAUGAGGACAUCCAGACCUUAUGUGUACUUCAGGCACAACUUCUAGCAUGAUCAAAUUCACGUUAGGAAAAAAAGUUCAGUAAACUUAGUAAACAGCUUCAGGUGGGAUUCCGUCUUCUCAACAUGAAUGUUAUAUGUAUCCUUCACUUAAAUUGUUGGAAGAACGCUUAGUACUUAGCCUGGCUCAUGAAUUAGCUUCUCUACAUGGUAACAAAGCAGUAGAUGGCUGCGUGGCUGCAUCUGUGCCCCUUUUCUGGAGGCAGAGCACAAGAGUGAGGCAGUCAGCUAAUCCUGCCAGUGGCUGACGCAGUGCUGCAGUCCAGGUGUGCUUCUGAAAAGGAGAAGCAAGGAAGGAAGAAAUGACUGAGAGGGAAAGGCAGUCUGCAUAAAAACCACUUAGCCUAGGUGCUGCAGAAACAGCUGCUGAUCUUCAGAUGGUGGCAUGCAUGCUGACAGCCUCCACAGAUCCAGGUAGGGCUGUUCUCGCUGUUUAGACCCUAAGUGUUGUUGCCGUGUGUUUGCAAAUCUGGAAUUUUGUAUAGCUCAUGCACACAAUGCAAAUUCAUGGUAGUAUUUCUGGUCACACAAUUCAAGACCGUUUUGCCUCUUGUAAGAAGGUAUGUCAUGUACCAGACUAGUGUGGUGCAGCCAUUUUUAAGAUAGUCCCUUUUUUUGCUUAAUCAUGAGAAACAGUUCAUGUGAGGAAUCAAAACUUUGCAGAGAGUUCUAGCUAAUAUCAGAUAAGAUUUACGCAUCCAAGCAAACAAUUGAGGAUGGUGGUUGACUUCACUAAAUAAAAUUUUUCUUAGGAGCUGAGCACUUAAUGUACCUGAGCUUUUUGCUUGCAAUUCAUAACACUAGUCUCGGGGAAAUCUGGAAGGAAAGUGUUCUAUUUAAAUAGGUUCACCUGCAAUUUUGCAGCAAGUUUACAAAGGCAAAAUCUGGAUUUGUCACUAGGCUGUCAGUUUUCUUGAAAGCCUGUUGUUUGCUGUCUUGUCUCAAGUGCCUUAUGUAUGCCACCCGAAGUAUCUACUACCUGUGACAAAUAAGAAUGUUGCCAGGUUUUCUGUCAGUUGCUCCCAUCUAGAUCCAAAUUACUUUCAAAAUUAAAGCUUUUCUUAAAAUAGCUUUUGCUAUCAAACCUCUUCUUAUUUAAAUUUUCUAGUUGUAAACUUUCUGUACUUUCUUCUGAAAAUGUGGAGGUACUUCUACAAAGGUGCCGUUGAUUCUGGGCUAACAGAUUCAUUUAUUAUUGCGCUCCCAGUGCUGUCCUCUUGCCAUUCGGAUCCUUCAAAGUAAUGAAAAGCAGUUUUUUUUCUGGCAACAGACUUAUCAGUGUAAAUGAGCUAGUGACAGCAUGCCCCUGCGUACCUGCUGCAGGUGAGGGAGAGCAAGAGUUCAAGGGCUGCCGUCUUCUCCAAAGCACUAAUGGCUGCGGGUGAAGAGGUUUGAGCUCUGUGGCUGUCAGUGCAUAACUUCAGUGUGUCAGAUCCAGACCUGCCUCGAACCGCCGGCUGGCGGAAGUUGCCCAGUCCACAGCAAAACUGCUGCCUGAGCUGUCGCAGCACCGGGAUGCACUCGGCUUUCCUGGAGCUGCCACACGCCAUCCCGUCCCUCCUCCAGGAGCAGCGCUGUCGGUGCUGGCUGGGAGCAGACUCAUGCUACGCUUGCUGUGCAGCUGUGGCUACCUGAGAUGAGCCUGCUGACGAGGUGAUGGGAACAGGCAGCACAAGGAUGAUUCCCAGGCAGCUGCCGGUGUCCUGCAGUUCUGCCCAAGUCCGACAAUCAGCCCCUUGCCCAAGGAGACAGAAGCUGCCAGACGUUUUUUAGCAAUGCCAAGAGCUGCCUCGUGCUGGGGGAUCCGGCCCAUCCGCGGGAGAGGCCGUGCAGCCGGCGCGCGGGACGAGGGAGGACAAGCAGCGCCGAACCUCAGCAGCGCCCGUCCGGCUGCCACUGCUGCUUCAGUUUAAACUCCGAAGCCCAUUUCCCACAAAGGACGCUCGCCAGGGUCGUCGGCCUGCCGCGCCGCAGGAGGGGCUGAAUCCCAACUUUGGACUGUUUUAUUCCCGCGGGAGGAGCACAAGCGGCCGGACACCAGCUGCCAGGCGGUGCCGGUCCUCUCGCAGGACUCGCCGCCGCUGUGCGGGGACGCUUGCUCGUCGGCUGUGCCACAGCAAGAGACUUACGUCCCUGCUCGAGCUGUGACCAGAGAGAAGCGUGACGCGUGGCAAGAGGUGGAGACGGCCCCUUGGCCGAAAGCCUGGGCGCGAUGCCGGGGUCGAUCUGCUCCCCAGGGAUGAGGAAAGGCAGACGCGGUGAAAGCUGCUCAGCACAUAACAUGAUGCUGAACCCGCUUGGGGACCAAGGUCUCCUGCCAGGUUUCGCCUUCGGUCUCAGAAGAAACAUCUCUUCCCCACGCGCUGCACGUCCCAAGCCCUCUUCCGUGGGAGCAGCGAAUCCAUGCACCGGAGAAGCCCCAGGUCCGCGCUUGAUCCUUGCCAAACCGUUCCCUGGGACAAGGAGGACGGAGCAGCCGCGUGGCCGAGGGAGCUGGGAUGCAGCCAGUGCUUGGGCCGUCGCUGCUGGCGCUUUCCUCAUCGGCCAGGUGUUACUCCCUAAGUGAGCUCAAUCCCACCGCUCCGAGAGGGCCGUGCGGCAUCCAGCAGUAGCCCGAAGUGGGUGAUUACUUUCUGUGCUCUCAGAGAAGGGAGCUGCCUCCCAUCCCGUGCAAAGGAGAUGGAGGCACCCCCACGUGCAUCUCUCCUCUGGUCAGAAGCGGCAGGGCUCAGGGACCAGAGUCAGGCAGAGUCGAUCUUGAAUGGCCCCUGCUCCCGGGACAAGGCGGAACGUCCCGCUCCGAGGGACGGCGCAGCGGUGGGGAGCGGGCUGGGCCGUGGCUGGAGGUGCUCUUGCGGGGGCUGCGGGAAGACUCAUUACGGAGCUGCAGCGCGGCCAGGGCGUGCAGAGAUGCCUUAUAGCGUGGUCCUGGGGGGCCUCAAAUCUCUGCAAAACGCUGGCAGUAGAAAUGCUGGCUCUGGAAAUUGAUUUCUCACUUUCCCUGUGUCAGAGGCUGUUCGGAAAAGCUGCUGUCAGCACCUGGAAGUUAAUGUGUGCCGGUGCUUUUGCAACGUGGAGAUGGAGGUGGAAGGGGGCUGUCUGGCCGUCCUGCCUCGCGCUGCCGCCGGAGCUGGAGCGUUUCUGCCGCCCACAGCCCUUCCAGGAGCCCCAGCCACCAGCACCCCUCCGCCGUCCCUGUCCGGCCCCAGGGACCUCCCCGGGGACUGGCCCGGCUCCAGCUCCGCUCAUCCUGGAGAGCAUCUCUGGGAAGGGCUUUUGUGGAGACGUUGUCCCCGCGAAGCUGUCACGCGCGUUGUCACCUUAGCGGAGGGCGCGCAGAGCUGUUUGCCUGGGAGGUGGCUGCAGCUGGUUCCUGGCUCGCGGCAGGACGGGGCGCGAUGGCUCGUCGCGGACGUCCUUGUGCCUCUGCCGGGGGCCGAGUGUCCGUUCCUGUUCACCUGACAGCGAGCGUGCCAGCCCUCCAGGGCUCUUUGCAGCUACCAGCCCUUUCUUUCCCAGGUUUAAAAAUAGUUGCAGGCAUUGUAAACAACCUUGCACAGAACAUGACUUAAAACUUGUUUUUCAUCCUAUCUGUGCAACUCGUGAGAAUGACUGCUCUUACCUCGUUUCUGUGUGCAGCGAAGGAGAGGAAUAGGGACGACAUGGCACAUCAGCUUCAUGCAAGGAGAUGAUCUGUUUAUUUACUUCUGCUUCUGCAAUACUCCAAGUUCUUCAGGGGCUUCGCGAUGAAGAAGUAGCUCAGCAGUCACCAGCGAGUAGCUUGGAGCCGGUCACCUACCAGGCAACAGCGUGCAGAAAAUACGCUUACGGAGGAAAGAUUUUGGCUCUUCUUCAAAAGCCCUUUCCACAUCCAAGGUCUUUCUGACAGUCUCCACAUUAAUAAGCACUAGCACAUUAGCAGUUGUGAACUUUCUAUCUGCUGCUCAAAUGGCAUGAAUUAUGCACGGGGAGGUACGUGGGUGAGCGGUGUGCGAAUCGCUCCGAGCGGCGGGGCCAGCCGGUGCGCGGUGCCGUGCAGGGAGCGCUGGGGCCGGCUGCGGGGCAGCGCGUGGCCCCCACGCCGCUCGGGUGCCUGGGCUGGAGAACGGGCCGGGCGCCGCGCGACGGUGCGUCCCCGCGGGGCGCUCACCCCUGUGCCUGAGCUGCCAGCAGCACUGCGCUGUGCAUCUUGUUUUUCUCAAGUCAGUUACUGUGUAGACUUUCUUUAAAGCUCUCCCCAAUAACCCCAAAAUUGUGGUGUAAAGGCUCAUUAUUUAUUAUUUGGAAGGCAGUCCAUUAAAAGUCCAUUUGCAAAGAAGACGUAGGAAGAUCAGUUGCAGUGCAGAAGCCUUCUUGCUAAACAGCUGGGACACAGGACUGCUGUCCCCCACGCGGCACGGGGACCGAGGCCUGGGCCGCUCUCCCCGGGGGUCAGGGGCGCACAGCGCUCUGCACCGCGUCCUCCAAGCCCUGGUCACGCUCCCGCCCACGCCGUCCUGCUUUAUGCACCGGUCAGUCCUGGAGUAUUUUGCUCCCUGGGCUGCUGCUGCUCCGCGCUGGCAUGCCAUCUCCCAGCCAGGAGAAAAACAGCACCGGGUUCUCCUCGGCAAGCCAGUCCUCUGAACCUGAUUCGUGGCACCAGGCGGCGUUUGACGCGAACCUGCAGGUAAUUGCAUGUUCUUGCUAAAAAUAAUUGGGUAGCCUAAGUUCUGAUCACUGUAAUUGCAUCCUAAUGAAUUUGUGUGUCAACUUGUUAUGUGCAACUUUGACUUCUACUGUAAAUAUCAAAUUAAGUUCAUCGCUCAGUCUGCAGGCACAUGCAGUGCAGGGACUUUGCAGCACUCUGCAAUGAGCAGAUGAAUCGCCGGCUGCUCCGGCUCGCCGUCCACGUGCUGCGGUUGGACGGCCCCGGGGCCGGAGGGUGACAGGCAGCAGGUCGGGCUCGGCAGGGCCCGGCUAGACACGCUCUGCGCCUGUCCCCAACGCUGAAAGCCACCGGCCGCUAGCAAAAUGCUGCUGUGACCCUGCUGGCACGCAGGAGGAGGUUUCCUGGACUGCCAGGGACCAAACGUGGUGUUUACAAACCAGAAAUGAACCUGGAGACCAGAAAUGGGUAAUCCUAUCGACUACGUGAGAGUCGCGUGCAAAUAGCGCUGUUCGUUAUUAAUUGUCAUUGUUUAAGGAGACCAGAGCCCUUGUCUGCAAAAGGAGAAGCUUCUGCAGAAGUUUCUGAAAUGAUGCUGCAUUCCCCUAACGGCUCUUAGAGAACAUUACUUAUUGUCAUUGUUUUUCAUGUUCACCACCAAAAUACCACCUACAGCUCUCCUACAAAGCUGUGCAUGUUAGUUAACCUCAUUAAAUCCUAAAGGAUUAGUCAGCUGUUCCUCAACCACAGAAUUGUUAGGAAACAUCUAAAGCUCAAAGUUAUGUGGCUUGGAAAGUGAUUUUCUAAUACCCCAACUUCAAAGGCAUUCUGAAAUCCUGCAGCGUAAGGGAGACAGACUAAUGUUAAUCCACUGGAGUGCUGCUUAAUGGCCUGUUUAAUUUUUGUCCUGAUAGGUCUCUAGUAAGCAGCUAAGCAUGAAGGCUGCCUCUGAUAAGCCCUGGUUCAGCGUUGCCUCCAUGCGCGCGUCCCCCGGCCCCGCGCGUCCUCCUCCGUCGCGGGUCGAGCACCCGCGCACACGGGGACCCGCCGCCUCCGCGGUCACCCAGCGCUGCACCGAGCCUGGGGCACGGUGCUGCCUCGGGCAGGCGGAGAUGCCACACGUCCCCGCGGCCGGGCCCUCCUCACCGCCUGGGCGGGAGCCUGGCACCGCCGGGCUUUGCGGGGACGGCCCCAACUCGGAUGAAUACCGCUAUUAACUCCGCCGUAACGAAGGGACUGAACACGUGGCGCUCUGAGCGCACAAAGCACCGAAAGCUGCAAAUUAAUUAAGCUUCGUGGCCCCCUGUGAGAUGCAGAGGUAAUUACCGAGUUCCUGGUGCAUGUGGGGAAAUGGAGAAGGGGACCGGCUGCGGCCGUAGCGCCUCGGCAGCGCGGAGCAGCGGCACGAUGGGCGCUCCAGGCCCCGGGAAGGGGCUCCCACCUCGCCUGCCUCCCGCCCGGCUCUCAGGGAAACCGGGACAAACUCCCGGCGCCAGGAAAGGGGCCGGGACGGGGAGCCCUGCCGUGCCGUGCGGACCGGCUGGAAGCAGCGACGGCAGCGCUGCGGCGAGCGCGGCGCCCGGGAGCCCGGCAGCUCCAGCCGGGAAUGCCAGCAGCUGUCUUGCGGCAAACGGCACCGGCUCACCGGGACACGCUUUGCGUCCUGCGGCUUUUGGUGAGUCCUCGAGACGCUUCUGCGUGUCCUCCCUACGGCUGGGUUUGUGCACCUGCGGAUGAAGGGCAGCACGUUCUGCGGAGCAGCAAAGACCACAGCAGCUCUCAAGCCUUAAUUUUGGUAACAAAUAGUGCCUAAAGGUCUUCUGCAGGCCAUCUCCCAACAGGUCACUCGUUUCCUCUUUUCUCUUAGCGAAGCUGACCUAAAAGCCUGACGCCGAGACGCAGAGAACCGUAUACUGCACCGUGCUGUCCUUCAGCGAGGGCGAGCCGAGCUGUGGAAGCUGAGAGCUGAUACCUGUAAAACAGAAUUUGGAGUCCAUCAACAAAGAAAGGCAAGUCCCUGCUUUCUGAAAGGGAAAUAAAUUUUGACAUCUUAAUUAUAAGUCAGAGGAAAGGUUGCUGCUGAAAUAGCGAUCUUUGAAGAUUAUUACUAUAUCGCCAUUAUUCAUUAAUGACUACAAAUGAGCUCUCAACGGUAAUGGUAAAUUAUAAUCACAGACCUAGGAAGCUGCUAUUAUAUCCCAUUUAUUCCAAAAGAGUUCUUUGCUAUUAACUUGAUAACAAAAAAACAGGAGUAUUAAUAAGGCUUUGGCCUGCCAUAACGUGUAUUGCUAUAUAAAUACUGCCGGGGAAAAAAGAAUCUAGAAAAAUCUGUUUCAUUAUGUUUCAAGCAACAACCACUUUUAAAACUGAAUUAAAAUAGAACUUCAUAAUUAGAUGAGCUGCUUCUGGGCUGUGAGCUGAAUGCGUCUGGCCAACUGAGCAGCUCCAAGGCCAGAAGACGUUUGGUCUCUCUCCUGUCUCCGCUGUCUCUAGUCCCCGCACGCUGCCUCCUUUUUAACUGAAACUGCUUUCACACGGCGGUUUGCCGUGACCUGGCGGCAGUGUUUCUGCCUGCCCAGCAGGACUCACCGGGGAGAGGAAAGGGUGGAACACAAAACGAACCGCACGCCUUAGAGCAGGCGUCCUGGCAGCGCUCUUCCAGGAAGGUGGCACCGGUAAAGGACCUGUGAAUCUGAGGCAACCUCUCAAACACGCCAGAAACCAUCACUUCUGUGAAUUUGUUGUAUGAAUCGUGGUGUUACGUGGCCCGUGCACAGGAGUAUUUGGGCAUCUCACACCUCUAAGAGCAUCCGUGGCGGAGUCGGAGCAGAGCCAGGCCUGAUUAGUCCUGUCUUAUUCCUCCACACAAGCUCAUCCAUCACCUUAGUCUCAAGUCAUUGCAUUGUAUCCUUGAAAAUAAGAGAUGGAGAAACCCGAUCUGAGAAGUGAACAAGGUGCAAUGGAAAGGUCAUAACUUAUUUCUUGGUUAAUGGAUCGUCAGUCAUUGCAUCUCACGGCAAGAUUGCCACGGUGGCCGUGGAAGAUAAGGAAAGAUUUCAUUUCUCAAGCUGUCCUGGGGGUCUCUUUUCCACCCUUUUCCACCCUCUUAUGUUCCUGCAAUUUGCCAAGAAGCAAAACAGAGAGGCCGAAAAGCUUUUUGCAGAUCUCUUCUGUAUCCUAAGUAUAUUUUUGCCAAGUUCUUCAUCUGCAAUAGGCCCUGGAUGGCCCCUCCCUUAAGGUGAAGUCUGUUCUGUCAGACUUAUUUGAUUUCUCGUACUGAAAUGUAAAUUAGCUUAAACUCACUGUAAGAAGCUUACUUCAAUAUGAGCUGUAAUUACUGCUAGGGCUGUAAAAAAAGCUUUCUUUAAAAGUUUUAUCAAAGUUAUUUUGUGUUAUUAUUGCUUUCUGUGAUGUGUCUGGAUUUACCAAACAGCAAAUAAUUCUGCACUUAUCUUGGUUCCUUUGAUAAUAUUUUUUAUGACAGAUCUACUGAGAUGCUACAUUAUUAACAUUAAAAACAGGAAGAAUGGGGACACUCUUUUCUAAAUAAGUCUGUAAAAAACCUUGCAUGCCAUUGCUGCUGCUUAAAUACUAAUCAUGGAAAGACAAGAAAUGUAUUAACCGUAUGGCUUUGUACUGAUUAAUAUAGGAGAUAUGAAUUAAUUUGAUGCUAGGACUAACCAGCACGGCCAGCAGUCCCCAGCGAGGCAAGGCUCGUCUGCUCCGAAGCUGCUUGGUUAGCACAGCUGCAAGAGCUCCUCGGGAUGAGCAGGCCGGCCAGGGACCAUCGCAGCAGCAGCAGCAGAGGGUGGCCGUGUCCCAAGUGCCCCCCGGACGCCAGGGAACGACUCGCCGGAGAUGCUCAAGCACACGCUGCCGGCUUGCAGGCGAGGCGAUAGUUCUCCUUCCCGAUGGAGAAGGGGCACGUGGGGAAGGGAGAAAUGUUUUUCUGGUCCCAGCUAUUCAUUGCUCCUCCUUCAACCUAUUUUUUAGAAAUAAAAAAGCUGAUGCAGCUUCGGCACCCUCUCGUCUUUCAAGAGGAGCAGUGGGAUGGGAGAGGGCCGGGCAGGGGCAUCUUGCCCCCACCGCUGGCUCAAAUCCAGCUGCGUUACUGUGAUAGAGACAGUUUGUUCCUGGAAGACCAGAGCAGACUGUAAUACUGCCUUUAAAUACCUGCAGGACUGCCAGGGCCUGAAGCAUGGAAGGCAAAGGCUUAUCCGAGUGGGCAACCGCUCUCAAGGAACCGUGUUUUCCUUCCGCAGCAUAAGGAAGGUUGAUGUUGUGCACGAACGGCACGCGGGAGCCCUGUUCUGCGCUGGUCUGCUCCCCUGCACGCCCGUCCCCUGCUCCCCGUGCCGGCGAGGAGAGAGCGACGGGGAGAAGGACCAGGAACCGUACUCGGAAGGGAGCUGGGGAUUACACUUAUCAAGCAGAGGCUGGGAUCGGCUUUUGGGCCAUGUGAGCUAGCCCAAAUCCCCGCGAAUGGGACUACAAACCUUGACAAGGCUGCUAGGGAUAUUUCAGAUCCCAUUAAAGAUGUAAAACCACCGGCAGAGCUGAACCGCUUACGGCUGCUAACCCAGCUUCGGGUGAGGCAGGCUGACACCAGGGAGAAGGUUCAAGCGAGGGAUUUCCAUCAGGAUGAUCAGAAACACACUCAAAUAGAGAGAAAUGGCUGAAUUCACAAACGUGGCAGAACACGGUAAAACCAAUAGCCUUUUGCUGUUAGGGUGAAUGGUCUAAACAAUGUACUUGCUAGUCAAAGUUUGGUUUGUUUUAGAGGCAGUGUUCGCAAGAGGUGAUUACGUUCCCGCGGGUGAUUACGGCCGCAGACUGGAAGGUCUCCUUGCAGUGUGCGAGCAGACAAGCCAGGCAAGCCUCGCUACAGAGGAAAAGGCAAACCAGUUUUCUUGCUCCUCAGACUGGCUUGUUUGCCUCAAAAUGUGCUUCCUGAGCUUGCCGUAGCCUGAGCAGUGCAGCGGACAGGAACGCCGUGAAGAGCAGCGAUCUGUCGCAGCAGACCAAGCCUGCUCCAGGCCUUGGAGACAUUCGGACCCAGGGCGCACGCUGCAGACCGCGCGGGUCGGCGCCGUGCCGGUCCCGUAUCCGGGGGGCAGUUGUUCUCCCAGCCUGAGACAUCCACGAACGAGGUUUUGCCUGCUAUCGACAGUGCCGCCCAUUCCCGAUUAACGGAUUCAGGAGACGUGAUACAUCCUCGAAAGGCGCCGAUGCCCCGGGAAGGUGCAGUAGCUGCUGGCGUAGCAGCAGAAGGGCGGACGAGCAGGCGGCGUGAGGGAAGGCUCGUGGCCCCUGCCGAAACCGCUCCCGUGCCCAGCGUGGCAAAGGGGAAUGUCUCCCCUCCGUGAUGCAAACAGUGGAUGAAAUCGAUAGUCCUGCACCCGGACUGUGAAUGCCCAGAUGGCUUUUAGGGGUGGCCAGUCAUUACGACUCCCUGCAAACGCCUCCGUGGCCCUGCUGCUCUUGCUGCCUUGCUCUCCCAACACGUCAGUCCUGCUUUUCUCCCGGAGCCCUGUCAGCGCGACCCACGGGUUUGCUCCAGCACAAAGCACUAAGCUCUAGAUCCAGACUUAAAUGCUCCACUACUCCUUUUGGCUCUAAAUCCAGUGUGCAGACUUCAAACCCGUGCUUAGCCGUGAGUCUGAACAACUUUUGCAGUUUGGUGUUUGCCUGGGCCUUUAUGCUCGCUUUGCACUCGCUGGCGUCUGCAGCGCUUGAUCGCGUUGCACUGAAGACCUUUAAUCUGCGUCCCAGCAUGAGCAGCGGAGGGGUAUUUGUGUAGGCUGCUUCUUUAUUCACUUUGACAAGUCUUCUUCGUUCAUCUUUUAAACUCUGUUAUAGAGAAAGCUGCAGCAGCAGCAGACGGCUCUUCUAGCAGGCGUAUGUGAAGCAAUCUCUGCAGUUACCUCUUUUUUCUGUUUUUGAAGUUUUGACUCUUCAGGGAGAGCUGCAUAGGAAGGAGCAAAGUGCUUGUGAGCGUAUUGCUGAGCGCUCUGUCCAUGUCUGCGCUACGGCUGUUGACAGAAAGUGUUUCGCCUCUUCCAGUGGUUCCUGCCUCGCUUGUUGUUCCCCCUCGCCAGGUCUGUGCCAGACUGCAGCCGGCUGAACACCGCUCCCGUUGCACAAAGCAGAGGGGAGGCAGAGAGAGGCGAGAAGGACACAAUGCUGCAUGAAUCCUUCCUUGCUGGUGUUUGCAGGCAGUGUUGAGGUGUGCACUAAAUAUACACAGAUUUAUGGA
Molecule: RNA transcript, 16932 nt
Organism: Dromaius novaehollandiae (emu)
Lineage: Eukaryota; Metazoa; Chordata; Aves; Casuariiformes; Dromaiidae
Gene: LRIG2
Gene name: leucine rich repeats and immunoglobulin like domains 2
Exons: 29
Source: RefSeq, a predicted model, not a curated record